GAUGAACGCUGGCGGCGUGCCUAAUACAUGCAAGUCGAGCGAACGGACGAGAAGCUUGCUUCUCUGAUGUUAGCGGCGGACGGGUGAGUAACACGUGGAUAACCUACCUAUAAGACUGGGAUAACUUCGGGAAACCGGAGCUAAUACCGGAUGAUAUUUUGAACCGCAUGGUUCAAAAGUGAAAGACGGUCUUGCUGUCACUUAUAGAUGGAUCCGCGCUGCAUUAGCUAGUUGGUAAGGUAACGGCUUACCAAGGCAACGAUGCAUAGCCGACCUGAGAGGGUGAUCGGCCACACUGGAACUGAGACACGGUCCAGACUCCUACGGGAGGCAGCAGUAGGGAAUCUUCCGCAAUGGGCGAAAGCCUGACGGAGCAACGCCGCGUAAGUGAUGAAGGUCUUCGGAUCGUAAAACUCUGUUAUUAGGGAAGAACAUAUGUGUAAGUAACUGUGCACAUCUUGACGGUACCUAAUCAGAAAGCCACGGCUAACUACGUG
This 497-nucleotide ribosomal RNA is filed under the name uncultured bacterium. RNAcentral's name for it is "partial 16S ribosomal RNA". It matches the Rfam family "Bacterial small subunit ribosomal RNA", at positions 28 to 507 of the family's 1533-position model. The record is from RNAcentral.